This 362-nucleotide unclassified non-coding RNA is filed under the name uncultured bacterium. RNAcentral describes it as "contains 16S-23S intergenic spacer region". The record is from RNAcentral.
UCCCCGUUACCGGGGCAGUCUAGCCAGAAAAAUUCAACUGACCAUAAGGGUUGCGCUCGUUAAUGGACUUAACCAUACAUCUCACGACACGAGCUGACGACGGCCAUGCAUCACCUGUCUCCACGUUCUAAAAGCACAGUCUCCUUUCGGAAACCUUCGCAGGAUGUCAAGCCCUGGUAAGGUUCUACGCUUAUCAUCGAAUUAAACAACACGCUCCACCGCUUGUGCGGGUCCCCGUCAAUUCCUUUAUGUUUUAAGCUUGCGCUCGUACUCCACAGGCGGGAUGCUUAACGCGUUAGCUUCGCUACUACCAGGAUCGAUACUGAUAACAGCUAGCAUCCAUCGUUUACGGCGUGGACUAC